AGAGUUUGAUCCUGGCUCAGAAUCAACGCUGGCGGCGCGCCUAACACAUGCAAGUCGAACGAGAAAGGGGAGCAAUCCCUGAGUACAGUGGCGUACGGGUGAGUAACACGUGGGUAAUCUACCUCUUAGUGGGGAAUAACCCUGGGAAACCGGGGCUAAUACCGCAUAAGUCCGAGAGGAGAAAGCAGCGAUGCGCUGGG
This 200-nucleotide ribosomal RNA is filed under the name uncultured bacterium. RNAcentral describes it as "partial 16S ribosomal RNA". It matches the Rfam family "Bacterial small subunit ribosomal RNA", at positions 8 to 222 of the family's 1533-position model. The record is from RNAcentral.